AUUCAGUUGAUGAGUCCUAAAUAGGACGAAACGAACGUUCUAGAU
This 45-nucleotide non-coding RNA is filed under the name Schistosoma margrebowiei. Lineage: Eukaryota; Metazoa; Platyhelminthes; Trematoda; Strigeidida; Schistosomatidae. The record is from RNAcentral.